GGCGAGAUGGCCGAGCGGUCUAAGGCGCUGUGUUAAGGCCGCAGUCUUCGGACGUGGGUUCGAAUCCCACUCUCGUCA
This is a non-coding RNA of Vanrija pseudolonga, 78 nucleotides long. NCBI's taxonomy places the organism in Eukaryota, Fungi, Basidiomycota, Tremellomycetes, Trichosporonales, Trichosporonaceae. The record is from the annotation of a RefSeq genome assembly.